Molecule: long non-coding RNA, 102 nt
Organism: Poecilia latipinna (sailfin molly)
Lineage: Eukaryota; Metazoa; Chordata; Actinopteri; Cyprinodontiformes; Poeciliidae
Exons: 3
Source: RefSeq, a predicted model, not a curated record
AACUCAUGUGUAAGGACAAGGAAAAGUUAAAUAUAUAUUUAUGCUUUUAUUUCUUAUUAUGACAGUUUUGGUCCUCCAUACAACAUUUUCAUUUUUUAAUAA